This 387-nucleotide ribosomal RNA is filed under the name uncultured eukaryote. RNAcentral describes it as "SSU rRNA". It matches the Rfam family "Eukaryotic small subunit ribosomal RNA", at positions 587 to 972 of the family's 1831-position model. The record is from RNAcentral.
AGCUCCAAUAGCGUAUAUUAAAUUUGUUGAAGUUAAAAAGCUCGUAGUUGGAUCUCAGGUAAGGUGUGUCGGUGUGGACUAUGUUCAUCUCCGUUCAUAUCUGCCUUUUUCAGUUGUAUGUCAAUCCAUGGUUGUCUUUAUUGAUUGCUAUGGAGAGCUCAACACGUUUACCUUGAAAAAAUCAGAGUGCUUAAAGCAGGCCUUGGUGCUUGUAUGUUGUUGCAUGGAAUAAUGGAACAAGACUUCGGAAAUAUUUUGUUGAUUUCAACUUCCGAAGUAAUGAACAAUAGAGACAGUCGGGGGCAUUUCUAUGGCUGUGUUAGAGGUGAAAUUCUGAGAUCGCAGCCAGAGAAACUAUUGCGAAAGCAUUUGCCAAGUAUGUCUUCA